GCGAUUCAACCCACCAUCCGAUCAGAUUUGCAAAAAAAAAACAGACACGGCCACACACACGGGCCGCCUCCUCUCCCUCUCGCCCACGAAGUCCUCGCCGCCGCCACCACCCAUGCCGGCCACUUCCGGUGAGCUCCGGCGACGCGCAGCACGCUCCCGAGCUCCCCACGGUCCACGCCUCCCUCCCCUCCGGACAGAUUCUCUGCUUCCGGCCUCUACUGCCCGCUCGCAACCCCACCCCCGUGGCUAGGGUUUCGGCCAAGGCUUCGCCGGCGCAUCUCCGGCGGCCCCAGAUGCAGAUGUAGCACCCCAUGGGAGUUCCCCAUCCACCACGGUGGCAGAUUCUUCAUGCAGAUGUGAUGCAAAAGAAGCACAAUAGUUCAGUGAUGAUUAGGUUUGUUUUUUCCCAGCUGAGAAUUUGAGGUUGUGUGUAUACACUGUCAACAAUAUUUUCAGAAACAAAAUAAUCGUGUACAUCCUUGUAUGGGGAAAGGUGGGUUGUAUAAGCGUGGACAUUAAUCUUCACUUUAUGUGCUAUAUAAGCAUGGACAUUACGUAGUCAAUUUAGCCAGAUAUAGAAUUCGUUACAGUAUUACAUUUACAAAAGGAAUAUAGAAGGUCACAUAUCAUUUUAGUUGUAAUUAUUCAAAUGCCUGACACAAGGUUCAGUAGGAAUAACAUUAUGAUGUUCCAAAUAUGCAGCGACAUGACUAAAGCUCAAAUUUCUAAAGUGGUUGUCGUGCUUGCCGUAACAGCGUUGAUGUUUUCACAUUUCCUCAAUUUAUUGGUAAGUUUGGAUGUUGUAGACUGAUCCCCUUUGGCAAGUCAUGUUUGCCUGCAGGGUGAUGAUGUUUAUGCAUCUAGGGAACCAUGGAGAUGUUAACAUGUGAUAUUUCCUCAAGUAAACUAAGUUCUUUUGCAAUUUGCUGCUCAAGUUGUGGCUCUCCUGCAGGGCAAAUCUUCCCAACAAGAAGCAUAACAGAGGCCUCUCUUUCAAUGUUUGAAGAUUGGUUAUCUAAUAACUGGCCAUCAGAGGGAGAAAUUCAGCUCCAUAACCUCCAUGUAAAUACCAUCAUCUAUUUUCCCUCUCGCCCACUUCUGUUACGUAUUUACAUUUUUGUGUUGGCAUGUUCUAAAGAAGCUGCACCUUUUUUCCCCUUGUGAGUAAAUUGCCAGAAAUCUAAACUCAUGGGCAAAUGAACUAUUUGAUUCAGUGAUUUGCCAGAUCAACAACAAAAUAUUACUAAGUAGCUCAUGUCAUUAACUUUUUAAUAAUGAUGCACAUGAGAUAUACUCCAAGGUAUGCAGAUAGGUAUUUUUGGUAGAAUAUGUAGUGGUAAAUCAACUCUCAUGCAUGCCCUUUUCUGUAUCAUGUGUCCUACUAUCGGUUAGAUAAUAGUAGACAUCGUCGACAUUGGCACCAUUGGGUUGUACGAUCUGAUUUCUAGAUUGGCCAUCAUCAAUGUUCGAUCGAACUGUGAGAAACAACCUUGACCCUCUAGGAGAGUACACUGACAAUCAAAUCUAGGAGGUAGUCUUGAUAUUCACAUGCUCAUUGCUUGUCAUUUCUCAAAUUACUAAACAAUCACUUAAAAAAUCUAUUUGUCUUGGCUCGAAGUAUGAAUCUGUUGCUCGUAAUUGUUUUUUAGUUCGAUAUGUCUUCACAUUCAUACAAUUCUAUGAACCUACGUGUUCCCAUUGAUACUUUGUAAAUCUUGUACUAGUUACUACGGCUUUGUGCAUUUCUCAAAUACAGAGGCCCUCCAAUCUUCUUAACUUUCUAAUAAUGACUGAAAAUUGUUAUUCUACAUUUCAACCAUCGGUCACUAUCAGUUAGGAGUUGAAGUUCGGAGAAAGGGGCUAAAACAUGAUUCGCCAGCUCUGCUUUACUCGUACCAUAGAGUUCAUAUUCUGGUAGUUUUGGUGCUUCUGAAAUUGCUGAUAAAUUCCAAAUUGCCCUUGAAGUGGUAGAGAGUGGAGAGAACUGGUGUGUGGGCCAGUGUCAGCCCGUCUGUCUCAGUUGGGUGAUUCUGAGACGGACCAAGAUACUGGUUCUGCCACUGUUUCGGUGGACUUGCAACUUGCAACAGAUAACCUGAUACCGGACACACCACAACAGCAUUACUCAGGGGUGAUUGGCAUGACGAUCGUGCAUCGAAUCACCUUGGUCCUUCAGAGCGAAAUACUCUAGCUUCUUGACUAUGGUGGUACAGUCUGGGGAACGAUUUUCUGUACAAGAGGAGGUCAAAAAAGGCAUUGCUUAUUGUACAUUAGAUUCUACAGGCAGGGGACCUUCAGCUUUGUAGUACUCCUGUUGUUUCAUGAAGCUUCAGAUUAUAUUACUAUAUUUUCCCUUGAUUGUAAGAAAAUCAAGCAUACACUAAUAAAAUUAAGCAUAUAAUACAUAGUAAUUUAAUCUGAAGCUUCAUCAAACACUGGCAACAAUACGUAGUCUCUCCAAGGCCUAUAUAGGUAUGUUUAUCUUGCUGUUUCAGGUUAGAAUAAUGAUUUUAAGCCAUGUAGAUAACCUUCAACUAGCAAUGCCAAUCAUAUAACCCUUGAGCAUGUGACAGAGUUUUCACCCUCACCAUGUCCAGUGACGUUGCUAGCAGGAGUAAGAUGUUUGGGUUGGCGGAGUCGGCGGCCGGUAGUAAAGCAAGGGUGUUGUGUUACAAAUUUUUCAUCAAGAAAUUCACAUAGGAAUAUAUUUUUUCCUUCAAUAAUGACCCUUUAUAUUUUUAGUACUUUCAAUAUUGUUUCGCUCAAAUAAAAGUAUGUUUUGCUACUUACAAAAUUGUAUCCUUGUGAAGAAGUAGUUGCUUUUUUACUUACAUUGAGAGAAGGUUUAUCUUCAGUGUAUAUAAAUUCCAUGUCCUUUGCAAUAUUUGGCCGCCUUGAAUGAUGCACAUGCUGACCUUCUAUGUUUGUAUGUUGGGUGGAGUCAAGCCCCUACAUGCAGUAGAAGAAUCAUAUUUAAGGGUUGUGGUUCAGAGUUUUUCCAUGUAUGUUGGUGAAGUCAUGCAAGUGAAGCACCUCAUUGUCCCCUAUAUUUUUUUGACUUGUUUGUCUAUGUACGUUGGGUGAAGUCAUGCAAGUGAAGUGAUAAAUUUUUCCGAUUUGUUUGUCUAUGUAUGUUGAGUGAAGUCAGUGAAGAAGUUCAUUUUGUUCGUUCUUUAGAAAUUUAUUUUGUUUUGUUUCUGAUUAACAGGUAAUACUGUCAAGUUUAGAGUGCCUCCUAAAAGUUUGUGUUUACUUUACCGUUUCUUCAUGAUGAAUUUACAAUACACGACGAUCGAAUAACUGCCCUGUAGCUACUAGAAUUUUUUGAAUUGCUAUGAUGGAUUUUACUGUACUGUAGUACUCAAAGAAGUCUACUUGUUUCUGUUGUCGUAGUAAAUUAUGGUUAAUUGAUGACUAACCUGAUGAUGGAUUUAGUGUCCUGUAGCUUCUAUAAUUUACAGUACCAUAAUUUUUUUGAUUGUUUGAAUUUACAGUGACCUCCUGCUUGAAUUUACACUACCUUGUUCGAAGAUUUACAAUCCUAUAACUUCUGUAAUUUACAGCAGUACCAUAAAGGUUGUGAUUGUUGUAUUUUACAGUGACCUGGUAUAGAUUUUACAGUAUACAGUUACCUUAAUUUACAGUGCUACAUUUUUCUGAACUAUUGGUGUUCUAGACAUGUUUUGAUGAUGCUCUUAGGUGUUGAUCUUCUUGUACUGGAAGAACUAUUUGGAGGAGAUUGCGAGAGUACGGACCUGCAGUUUGUCUUCUUGGUGUGACUGUAGUUUCCUGAUUGUGUAGCUAUUCUGUCCCCUUCUUCCUCCAUCCUCUUUCUCGUUCUUAUCUGAUCAUAAAGCACACAUUGUUACUGGUUGUUUCUCCUUAUUUUACGGAAGUUCCAGUAUCUUUGUUGUGAUCUGGUUGUUACUGACUGGAAUUUUAGUAAAACGAACACUGUAAAAUUCAUCAAAGCUCGAUACGCUUUAAAGUUAUUGUUUAUCAUAGUGAGUUGACUGUAAAUUUCAGUCGAAAAAACUGUAUUUAAAGCUUCAUGACGAUGAAAUAUUUAGUAUGUGAUUAGUUCAUAAUGUGUUGAUCAUUGUACAGCAGGUUGAUGCGAAUGAUGAAUUAUAGUAUGUUUGUGUUCA
Long non-coding RNA from Triticum aestivum (bread wheat), 4148 nucleotides. RefSeq lists it as uncharacterized. The record is from RefSeq and is a predicted model, not a curated record. The transcript is spliced from 3 exons. Lineage: Eukaryota; Viridiplantae; Streptophyta; Magnoliopsida; Poales; Poaceae.